ACACUCCUACGGGAGGCAGCAGUGGGGAAUUUUGGACAAUGGGCGAAAGCCUGAUCCAGCAAUGCCGCGUGAGUGCAGAAGGCCUUCGGGUUGUAAAGCUCUUUUGUCAGGGAAGAAACGGUGAAAGCUAAUAUCUUUUGCUAAUGACGGUACCUGAAGAAUAAGCACCGGCUAACUACGUGCCAGCAGCCGCGGUAAUACGUAGGGUGCAAGCGUUAAUCGGAAUUACUGGGCGUAAAGCGUGCGCAGGCGGUUUUGUAAGUCUGAUGUGAAAUCCCCGGGCUCAACCUGGGAAUUGCAUUGGAGACUGCAAGGCUAGAAUCUGGCAGAGGGGGGUAGAAUUCCACGUGUAGCAGUGAAAUGCGUAGAUAUGUGGAGGAACACCGAUGGCGAAGGCAGCCCCCUGGGUCAAGAUUGACGCUCAUGCACGAAAGCGUGGGGAGCAAACAGGAUUAGAUACCCCAGUAGUCCCAUGAU
RNAcentral lists this ribosomal RNA (477 nucleotides) under uncultured organism. Its description in RNAcentral is "partial 16S ribosomal RNA". It matches the Rfam family "Bacterial small subunit ribosomal RNA", at positions 333 to 801 of the family's 1533-position model. The record is from RNAcentral.